GGUCGAACUCGAGCACAGCACAACCUGGUGUCGUUAGUUGAGUUUGCAAUAGCCCUUAUGUCUCUGUUGGAUCAAAUCAACAGGGAGUCCUUUCAACGUUUCAGGCUGCGAGUCGGUAUCAACCACGGCCCAGUGAUUGCCGGAGUCGUUGGUGCCCAGAAACCACAAUACGACAUUUGGGGCAACACCGUUAACGUCGCCAGUAGAAUGGAUAGUUGUGGCGUCACCGGUCGGAUACAGGUCACUGAGGAAACCACGAGAGUACUGGUGGAUUGUGGGUACGAAUGUGAAUGUCGCGGUUUGGUUGAAGUGAAAGGAAAAGGAAAGCUCACCACUUUUCUCGUGAAAACUCAGUUUGAUGACGACGUUCCCACGAGACUUUUAUAAUCAACAAAAUCUGUAUUAAAUCUUAUUAUAUAUAUAUAUGUGUGUGUGUAUAUGUGUGUGUGUGUGUGUGUGUGUGUAGAGAUAUUCCAAUUGGAUAAGCCUCAGUCAAAAAUGGAUCUCGACAGCUUACUUGUGAAUCAAAUGUAAUAUCGGAGCUCCAAGGAUUGGGUUGACACGAGAGAGUGAAAAAUAUCAAAUAAAUAUCCAAGGCAAAUUGAUUUUUUUUCUUUUCUCAGAUACGUCAGGAGGUUUAACAAUAAGCACGAGACUCAAAAGCCUUGUUCGAAUAAGAUGUUUUUAAACUGAAAGCAGGAGAAAGCUUUUUGAUUGAAAAUAGUUGUUUCGAUGGAUCGGAUGGAAAAGUAACGUGAUUAUAAGAGGUAAAACUUAAACUCUACAAUUCGCGUUCACUCAUAUCAGAAGUACUGUGUUCUCUUUCAUAAUCCUGCUAUCAAAAUAAAAACAAAAACGUCUAAGCCUUUAACAAUUUUACAUCUUGUAUGGUUGAACCGUCGGUGGCGAGGUCCUGUAUGACGUCAUUAGAUUAUUGACCAUAUAUAUGUACAGUCCCACUUCUUCAUGAGAAUACCAUGACUUCACUGCCUAUAUAAAUACACCACCACCACUCCCCUGUUCAUCCAUACAAAUACUGGAGCCCUGCUCCUCCUCCUUAUAAAGGUUAUGGUCCCGAUCCUCCAUAUAAAGACCCCGAUUCAAUUUCCUGCUCCUCCUUAUAAAAAUUACGGUCCCGCUCAUCCUAUAUAAAAGAUAACGACCUCACUUCUCUGCUCCUCCUUAUAAAGAUUAUGGUCCCGCUCCUCCAUAUAAAGACCCCGAUUCCACUUUCCUGCUCCUCCUUAUAAAAAUUACGGUCCCGCUCAUUCUAUAUAAAAGAUAACGACCUCACUUCUCUGCUCCUCCUUAUAAAGAUUAUGGUCCCGCUCCUCCUUAUAAAACCGCGACAUCGCUCCUCCAAAUAUAGCCCUUGAUCUAUCUCCUCCAUAUAAAGUCUAUGGCUUUGCUCCCCUCCCCCCAAUAUAAAUAUCGGGUUAAAAUAACUUGAAUUUGCCAUAUCUAUUAAAUCAAAGAACAACAGGAUAGUUUAUAAUGAUAACAAUAAAACCUUGUUAUUUCAAGUGAGCCCAAAAAGCCUAAUGUUAAUGACAUCUAGUAAGUAAAGCUUAACUUAUUCUCUGUGAUUAGAACUGAGUUCGACUUUUCUUGAGUGUUGUCUGAUCUUUCUUGUGUUAUCUGGUUUUGUCAUCUUGUAUUCUUUACUUGUUCUCUGUGAUUAGAACUGAGUUCGACUUUUCUUGAGUGUUGUCUGAUUUUUCUUGUGUUAUCUGGUCUCGUCAUCUUGUGUUCUUUACUUGUUCUCUGUGAUUAGAACUGAGUUCGACUUUUAUUGAGUGUUGUCUGAUCUUUCUUGUGUUAUCUGGUCUUGUCAUCUUGUAUUCUUUACUUAUUCUCUGUGAUUAGAACUGAGUUCGACUUUUCUUGAGUGUUGUCUGAUCUUUCUUGUGUUAUCUGGUCUUGUCAUCUUGUGUUCUUUACUUGUUCUCUGUGAUUAGAACUGAGUUCGACUUUUAUUGAGUGGUGUCUGAUUUUUCUUGUGUUAUCUGGUCUUGUCAUCUUGUGUUCUUUACUUGUUCUCUGUGAUUAGAACUGAGUUCGACUUUUAUUGAGUGGUGUCUGAUUUUUCUUGUGUUAUCUGGUCUUGUCGUCUUGUGUUCUAUACUUGUUCUCUGUGAUUAGAACUGAGUUCGAUUUUUCUUGAGUGUUUGAUCUUUCUUGUGUUAUCUGGUCUUGUGUUCUAUACUUGUUCUCUGUGAUUAAAACUGAGUUCGACUUUUCUUGAGUGUUUGAUCUUUCUUGUGUUAUCUGGUCUUGUCAUCUUGUGUUCUAUACUUGUUCUCGGCCAAAACAGACAAAGGUUUCUCCCUGUUUUUUAAACCUUAUAGAAGUGAGCUGGAAAUUUGUUUGUUUUAUCACAAUAUUUUCUUAAAACAUAUUUAAGAGUACCAAACUAUGACUGAAGAGCGUUAAAAACAUUAUUGUUCCUUUCGUUCCUCCGUACUUCAGAAGUAAUAUGUAACUGUUUUCUUAUUUUAUGAAACUACUCAGGUUCGGACAAGUCGUGUUUUCUACAGCUUGAUUCUUGGGAAAGAGUAACAGUAAGAAUUAGAAGCUGAGGCAAAAUGACACCAUAAAAAAACUAAAUAGACGUCUAUGUUGAUAUCUACUCAACUAUAUUCUACUUCUCUUUGGGGUUAUGGGUGCGUUAUAAGAGUAGCGGUCAAAUCACACUCUUCCAUUAGAGUAACCCAAGAGUUAGUGGUGGAUGCUGUUAACUAGCUACCUUGUCUCUGGUCUAUAAUUUCAAAAUUAAAGACUAAAAUAAGAAACCCUAUAAUCCAGAAAGGUCAACCUUUCUUCCCACAUUCUAUUAAACUGAAUGUUUAAACAACCAACUAACUUGAAAGAUGUAUCUCUUCGACUCUAACCAAAGUAACUGAAUGUUUAAACACUCAACUAACUUGAAAGAUGUAUCUCUUCAACUCUAACCAAAGUAACUGAAUGUUUAAACAACCAAGUAACUUGAAAGAUGUAUCUCUUCGACUCUAACCAAAGUAACUGAAUGUUUAAACAACCAACUGACUUGCAGAAUGUAUCUCUUCAACUCUAACCAAAGUAACUGAAUGUUUAAACACUCAACUAACUUGAAAGAUGUAUCUCUUCGACUCUAACCAAAGAACUGAAUGUUUAAACAACCAACUGACUUUAAAGAUGUAUCUCUUCAACUCUAACCAAAGUAACUGAAUGUUUAAACACUCAACUGACUUGAAAGAUGUAUCUCUUCAACUCUAACCAAAGAAACUGAAUGUUUAAACAACCAACUAACUUGCAGGAUGUAUCUCUUCGACUCUAACCAAAGUAACUGAAUGUUUAAACAACCAACUGACUUGCAGAAUGUAUCUCUUCAACUCUAACCAAAGUAACUGAAUGUUUAAACAACCAACUGACUUGAAAGAUGUAUCUCUUCAACUCUAACCAAAGUAACUGAAUGUUUAAACAAC
Molecule: long non-coding RNA, 3464 nt
Filed under: Limulus polyphemus (Atlantic horseshoe crab)
Lineage: Eukaryota; Metazoa; Arthropoda; Merostomata; Xiphosura; Limulidae
Description: uncharacterized LOC111089395
Source: RNAcentral